AGUUGGUCAGGUAACGGCUGACCAAGGCGACGAUGUCUAGGGGUUCUGAGAGGAAGGUCCCCCACACUGGAACUGAGACACGGUCCAGACUCCUACGGGAGGCAGCAGUGAGGAAUAUUGGACAAUGGUCGGAAGACUGAUCCAGCCAUGCCGCGUGAAGGUUACGGUCCUAUGGAUUUUAAACUUCUUUUAUGCGGGAGCAAUAAGGUGCACGUGUGCAUCGAUGAGAGUACCUCAUGAAUAAGCAUCGGCUAACUCCGUGCCAGCAGCCGCGGUAAUACGGAGGAUGCAAGCGUUAUCCGGAUUUAUUGGGUUUAAAGGGUGCGUAGGCGGAAUUAUAAGUCAGCGGUGAAAUUCACAGGCUCAACCUGUGCCGUGCCGUUGAAACUGUAACUCUAGAAUACGGAUGCUGUGGGAGGAAUGUGUAGUGUAGCGGUGAAAUGCAUAGAUAUUACACAGAACACCGAUUGCGAAGGCAUCUCACAAAGUCGUCAUUGACGCUGAGGCACGAAAGUGUGGGGAUCAAACAGGAUUAGAUACCCUGGUAGUCCACUACUGUAAACGAUGAUAACUCGCUGCCGGCGACACACUGUC
RNAcentral lists this ribosomal RNA (594 nucleotides) under uncultured bacterium. RNAcentral describes it as "bacterial SSU rRNA". It matches the Rfam family "Bacterial small subunit ribosomal RNA", at positions 247 to 838 of the family's 1533-position model. The record is from RNAcentral.